This 363-nucleotide ribosomal RNA is filed under the name Triticum aestivum (bread wheat). RNAcentral describes it as "partial small subunit ribosomal RNA". Lineage: Eukaryota; Viridiplantae; Streptophyta; Magnoliopsida; Poales; Poaceae. The record is from RNAcentral.
AUGGAAAAAUGGUGCGAGAAUGAGUUUGUGAUCUCCGUGAGCGAGACAACCGAUGAGUUCAAGUGCGAGUGUGGGAUGUUUGAGCACUAUGGAAUGGUUUGCAGCCAUGCUCUUAAGGUGAUGAUACACCUAAAACUGCAUGAGCUCCCUGCGAAACAUGUGCUCAAGCGAUGGACAAGAGAUGCAAGAGAUAUACUACUGCUAGAGUAUUUGCGCUACCAGAAGGAUCAUGGGCCGCUCAAACAUUCUUCUCGCCGACACAACACUUUAUACCUCUUGGCACUGGAUGUUGUUAAGUUAGGUGACGGCAAUGUGGAAGCAUAUGCUCUUGCUAUGGAGAAAAUGCGAGAUGUCAAAGUGUAG